GCCAGCCAGCUCGUCACCUCCAGAGACAGUCCUCAUCCCUCGGGAAAGGCAGGCUGUCCUUCUGCUCUGGCACGCUGCUUGCAGGCUCGGUUGCUGGCAUUCCUUAAGCCACAUAAAGUUCAAGACCCGUUGUUCCCGGACCCCUGCAUCAGCAGAGCACAGGCUGUUACAAAUGCAGAUGUUUUCCUCUGCAUGUCCUGGAAGGCACAGUUCAACAGUUUCCUUUCAUUGAAAUUGAUUAACAACUAAAUCAACCAGGUUUUCAGGGUCCAGCGACCUACCUGGACCAUUCCACAAUGGCCAGGGGAGAUCCCUGCCCAAGAGCUAAAACUCUCUUGAUGGGGAGGGAUUUGACCCAGGGUCUUAAGGGCAGCCACAGACGCGGAGAAUGAAGAUCCCAGGACUUAGAAGGUUUCCUGAAAAGCAGGAUAUGGCACCGCAGAGAAGCACCACUGAGGCUGUCGUCUGGCCCCACAACCUCCUGUAGCCAAAUAUCCUGGUGCUGCGGGACCCCCAGCAGAGCAGUACUCAGCACCGCGUUGUGAGCGCAAAGUGGGCCACUUCAGGGAUGUGCUGAUUUUUCUAGUGGAAGAAAGCUGAAGUCGUCUUAGCCCAACCUGGACAUGGGUGACGGUUUGCACACUCACCUGCACCCUGGGAUAAAGUGGGAUAGCUCCCGUGGCUCCCUUCUGAGGUCUCCCCUUCCUGUUCCAUGAGCACAUGGUGGAACAGCGUGCUGGCACUGGCAGGCUGACAGGACAAGGAAGGGACCAGGACCUGGCCGGUCAGGACAAUGCUGGGGAAGCCCCAGGCACCCACGCAGAUGCCUCAACCCUGGUCUGAGUUGGUGCAAUUUGUCAGCAUCACUAGGGGAUGGAGGGCAGGGAGACGAGGGUCGGUAUGUCACACUUAAAGCUCACCUGGAGUUAGGGAGUUGGUGUUUGCAAUGGCUUCUAACAGACAACUGUUCCCCUUUAAAUUAGCGAGUCUCAUUUAAAGGUUGCCCAGCACUUUCCACAUGUAGUUCCAAUCUGAGUGCAUGGAAUACAAAGUUCUCACUUGAAUUUCAUUUCCCGGUUCUUUCUGCACAGAUGCCUCUUCGGGUGCCCCUCUUAUGCAAGUAAAUAUGACAUCUGGUGAAGGAAACCUGCAAAGGACAGAGGCUGGGUAUUAAGGACUUGAUUUGCAUGAAUGCAGCCAUCAUUCUUUGUUCUUAUCUAGUAUGUUGAUAGGAUAUACCUCUCAAAAAUUUUGUUUUGACAGAAACAUCUUAGUGCAUGUGAGGAAGCAUUGCAUAACUUUGCAAAGUGGAAUCCUAUUACUGCCAGGUGACCAUUUCCCAGAUCACAGCCUGAAUUAGCUGGCUGGUACAUCCUGUACAUUGGGGCAUGUUUACAAAUUAAAGCUGGAUUCAGAGAGGUGUGACCACUCUGUAUCUAGAAAAUUAAUCCUGGCUCCUGGAAGCCUCACAAACAGAAAAUGACACACAAGGGUUAAUGCAAUUUCCAUCCCAGCGAGUUUUGCUUGCCAUUAUUUUCUUUUUCUCUUCUCCCUUUUAACUGAUUCGCAGCAUAAAAUCUUCCUGGACACCUAAUUAUCAAGCCAGCUCACAGUCACAGCUGUCUGCUUGGAGAACCCAUUAGAUGCAGCAGUUGAAGCCUCCAUAAUUCCCCAAACUUCCCGGUUGUGAAUAUUAAGAAAAGAUUUUUACAUGUCAUAUGCAAUUCGAAGGUGGUGUGAAUGGCCUCGGAGAUGACGAGGCCUGAAUGCUUGUCCAUCAUGCCAUUCACUGGUUACAGGUGGUCUCAUUUUCCACUCUCAGAUAUCGGCUGGCUAUGACAGCAGGCACUUAAUUUGCAUGUUCGACAGACAACAAACGGCCCCGUGCAUGUCAAAAUAGGUGGUGAUGCGUGACAGUUUCUACACAAUGCUGUCUCCUCUUUGCAUGACCUUUGACCUCUCUGCAUGUCUUUUUUCCACCAUCAGAAAAAAAANUAU
Molecule: non-coding RNA, 1998 nt
Organism: Manis javanica (Malayan pangolin)
Lineage: Eukaryota; Metazoa; Chordata; Mammalia; Pholidota; Manidae
Source: RefSeq, a predicted model, not a curated record